AACCAGCAUUGGAAGACGUGUCUGGGAAUUAGUAAGGAGAAUUAACGUUUUCUUUCAUUGCUGACAUAACACCAAUUUUGGUGGCCACUUGUUCGGUCCUCUUGCAGUUAAAAAACAGCCCAAUUAAUAUUUGAGCCCCUUUAGGGCUUUUACAACUACGCUGCUAGCAUUUGUAUUCAGUUUUGUAUUAGGCAUUUCGUCAGACAGGCUUUCGAUGUAAACAAACAGUCCACGGGAAAUUAUAUAAACACAUUUUUACGUAAACACACACGAAUGAACUGUAAACAACAAAAUUAUCCACUCAAAGAGGCGACAAAUCAGCGUAUUUCCUGGUACGUCAGUGGCAUAAUUCGUUCCGUGUUCUGUAAACCUAUGCGUGCUGUUAGCUUGCGCACACGGACGAAUUUUCGCCUUUCUUCUACAACAUCUCUCUGCGUUCGCGCAACCAUGCUGUUAAAAGCAGCGAACAUGAAAAAGAUCUUAGAUAAGAGGCAUCAUUUUCCUGGGUCGUAAACGUUCUGGGGGCCCUGUCGCUUAGACAUUAGAUACUUGAAAACAGACGUUUGUCAUUUGUUAUUUUCUAAUAUGUUUUUCUUCCUUCUCAGGGGUUGUAAAUUAAAGGUUGUAGAGAGAAGAUAAAAACACUGCUCGUUCAUUCAUUCAUCACUCACCGGCUGCUCGCUAUCAUGGUUUCUUUUGUGUUUUGUUGGUUUGAAAAUGCCCAUUGUGGGAGUGUAUUUGCAUCUUUGUUCGUAGUGUCAAUACAAACCUUCCCCUUUCCUGCUUCUCAAGUCGUCUUUUGUACAACAAAUUGUUAUCAUUUAUCUGUAAACAAAGAACAACACUUCAUUCGCCCCUUUCUAGUCAUCAUUUAAUUAUUAAUUUGUUUUGCGGUUAUUUGAUUUGAACAGUGCAAACAGCCCUCGGCGACCUUUCCAAACGUUGAAAAGGCUUUGAUUACGUUCACGUUCUGAAAAACUGUGUUGUUUUUCAGGCAUUUCUAAGCUUUCUACCCCUACGGCGUUUGUUUCGCAUUCCCGGACUCUCCCGAGGCGGACCCAACCUACAGAAUUUAGUACCCAAUCCACCACCGUCAACCUCGAGCAAGAAGAAACAAAAGGAACGGGAAGAUCCGAUCAUGUCACGACAGAAUCCGGCGAGGAGACGACAGAUCAUGGACUCGGACGAAGAAAUGGGACCGAAAUCGGAAUAAACUUUACAACACCGUUCAAUGUUACUUCAACGGGUCCCUCGACACCUCGCCCCACGAGGAUGGUAAAAACAGAGAAAAAAGCCGAGGGAACCGGAAAUGACGACAUCUCUCUCCAAUGUCCUGGAACAUUGAAGGUCAUACGCGUCAGAGCGUUUGGAAUCCCUGGGGACAACGAAACUGUUGCGGAUUUUGACAAACAUUGCCAAGCUAACCUCGGCCAGAUUGAUGGGACGAACGUGUGCAUUGUAAGCCUAAAACGAGUUUACAAGACCAGUUACCCGCCGUUUAUAAAGACGUUAGUUACGUUUACCUGCUCGUACACCGAAUUCGCCAGCUAGCAAUGGUCGAGAGGAAAUGGGAAAAGAUUGAACGACACUCCUGCACGUGAUGAGCACGUGACUGGUGAAAAUAACGUCAUCGUUGGCUCA
Molecule: long non-coding RNA, 1641 nt
Organism: Orbicella faveolata
Lineage: Eukaryota; Metazoa; Cnidaria; Anthozoa; Scleractinia; Merulinidae
Source: RefSeq, a predicted model, not a curated record